This 377-nucleotide ribosomal RNA is filed under the name uncultured bacterium. RNAcentral describes it as "bacterial SSU rRNA". It matches the Rfam family "Bacterial small subunit ribosomal RNA", at positions 790 to 1167 of the family's 1533-position model. The record is from RNAcentral.
GUAGUCCACGCCGUAAACUAUGGAUACUAGGUGUUUGGGAAAUUAACCUCCUGAGUACCAAAGCUAACGCGUUAAGUAUCCCGCCUGGGGAGUACGGUCGCAAGGCUAAAACUCAAAGGAAUUGACGGGGGCCCGCACAAGCGGUGGAGUAUGUGGUUUAAUUCGAAGCAACGCGCAGAACCUUACCUACCCUUAACAUCCCACGACAACUGCAGAGAUGUGGCUUUCCCUUCGGGGACGUGGAGAUAGGUGCUGCAUGGCUGUCGUCAGCUCGUGUCGUAAGAUGUCCGGUUAAGUCCGAUAACGAGCGCAACCCUUGUUCUUAGUUACCAGCAUUAAGUUGGGGACUCUAAGGAGACUGCCGGUGUUAAACCGGA